RNAcentral lists this ribosomal RNA (404 nucleotides) under uncultured bacterium. Its description in RNAcentral is "bacterial SSU rRNA". It matches the Rfam family "Bacterial small subunit ribosomal RNA", at positions 28 to 432 of the family's 1533-position model. The record is from RNAcentral.
GACGAACGCUGGCGGCGUGCUUAACACAUGCAAGUCGAGCGGUAAGGCCCUUUCGGGGGUACACGAGCGGCGAACGGGUGAGUAACACGUGGGUGACCUGCCUUUAGCUCUGGGAUAAGCCUGGGAAACUGGGUCUAAUACCGGAUAUGACUCCAUGACGCAUGUUGUGGGGUGGAAAGCCUUGUGCGGCUAGGGAUGGGCCCGCGGCCUAUCAGCUUGUUGGUGGGGUGAUGGCCUACCAAGGCGACGACGGGUAGCUGGUCUGAGAGGAUGGCCAGCCACAUUGGGACUGAGACACGGCCCAGACUCCUACGGGAGGCAGCAGGUGGGGAAUAUUGCGCAAUGGACGAAAGUCUGACGCAGCGACGCCGCGUGUGGGAUGACGGUCUUCGGAUUGUAAACCA